This 472-nucleotide ribosomal RNA is filed under the name Streptomyces intermedius. Its description in RNAcentral is "bacterial SSU rRNA". The record is from RNAcentral. Lineage: Bacteria; Bacillati; Actinomycetota; Actinomycetes; Kitasatosporales; Streptomycetaceae.
GCGCGCCCCGGGCGGGGCGGGGGCACGGGGGGAACGCGAAGAACCUUACCAAGGCUUGACAUACACCGGAAAGCAUCAGAGAUAGUGCCCCCCUUGUGGUCGGUGUACAGGUGGUGCAUGGCUGUCGUCAGCUCGUGUYGWGAGRUGUUGGGUUAAGUCCCGCAACGAGCGCAACCCUUGUCCCGUGUUGCCAGCAGGCCCUUGUGGUGCUGGGGACUCACGGGAGACCGCCGGGGUCAACUCGGAGGAAGGUGGGGACGACGUCAAGUCAUCAUGCCCCUUAUGUCUUGGGCUGCACACGUGCUACAAUGGCCGGUACAAUGAGCUGCGAUACCGCGAGGUGGAGCGAAUCUCAAAAAGCCGGUCUMAGUUCGGAUUGGGGUCUGCAACUCGACCCCAUGAAGUCGGAGUCGCUAGUAAUCGCAGAUCAGCAUUGCUGCGGUGAAUACGUUCCCGGGUCUUGUACACMCCG